RNAcentral lists this ribosomal RNA (1325 nucleotides) under cf. Pseudicyema truncatum EM-2019. RNAcentral's name for it is "SSU rRNA". It matches the Rfam family "Eukaryotic small subunit ribosomal RNA", at positions 275 to 1701 of the family's 1831-position model. Lineage: Eukaryota; Metazoa; Dicyemida; Rhombozoa; Dicyemidae. The record is from RNAcentral.
GGCAGUGCCGGUGACAUAUCAAUUAGAUGUCCGCCCCAUCAAUUGUUGACGGUAAGGUAGUGGCUUACCGUGGUUACAACGGGUAACGGGGAAUCAGGGUUCGAUUCCGGAGAGGGAGCAUGAGAAAUGGCUGCCAGAUCUAUGGAUUGCAGCAGGUGCGAAAAUUAUCCACUUUUGGCAUAAAGAGAUAGUGAUGAUAAAUAACGGAUCUGGGCAUUUGUUCAGAGAUCGUAAUGAAAUAAUCGUAAAAGCUUUAAUGAACGCAAUUGGAGGGCAAGUCUGGUGCCAGCAGCCGCGGCAAUUCCAGUUCCAAUAGUGUAUACUAAAGUUGCUGCAGUUGAAAAGCUCGUAGUUGGAUCUCGGCUUGCUAGCGCGCGAGGCGUGUGAGUAGGCCUUUGCUGUAGUUGAGUGCUACGGCUUUACCUUGAACAAAAUAGAGUGCUUAAGGCAAGCAUUCUGCUUGAAUAUCUCAGCAUGGAAUAAUAGAAAAAGACUUUUCUGUUGGUUUACCAGUAGUAAAAGUAAUGAUUAACAGAGACAGACGGGGGCAUUCGUAUCGCACCGCUAGAGGUGAAAUUCGUAGAUCGGUGCGGGACGAACUACAGCGAAAGCAUUUGCCAAGGAUGUUUUCAUUAAUCAAGAACGAAAGUUGGAGUAUCGAAGUCGAUUAGAUCUCGUCGUAGUUCCAACUAUAAACGAUGCCAACUAGCACUCCGCUAAUAAGUAUUAGUACGUUAGCGGGUUGCUUCCGGGAAACCAAAGUCUUUGGGCUCCGGGGGAAGUAUGGUUGCAAAGCUGAAACUUAAAGGAAUUGACGGAAGGGCACCACCAGGAGUGGAGCCUGCGGCUCAAUUUGACUCAACACAGAAAAACUCACCCGGGCCGAACACAGUAAGGAUUGACAGACUGAUAGCUUUUUCUUGAUACUGUGGGUAGUGGUGCAUGGCCGUUGUUGGUUGGUGGAGUGAUCUGUCUGGUUAAUUCCGAUAACGAACGAGACUCAGGCCUACUUACUAGUUGUUCGAUUGCUGGUCGAUCAACUUCUUAGAGGGAUCAGUGUUUAAAACACUUGAAAAUGAGCAAUAACAGGUCUGUGAUUGCCCUUAGACGUUCGGGGCUGCACGCGCGCUACAAUGGAGAAAGCAGUGGGUGUCUUGCUUGGCAAAGCAAGCUGAGCCUUAAAAUUUCUUCGUGACAGGGAUCGAGGCUUGUAAUUAUUCCUCGUGCACAAGGAAUUCCUAGUAAUCGCAGGUCAUUAGCCUGCAAUGAUUACGUCCCUGCCCUUUGUACACACCGCCCGUCGCUACUACCGAUGAAUGAUUUGG